Molecule: ribosomal RNA, 588 nt
Filed under: Bullera alba
Lineage: Eukaryota; Fungi; Basidiomycota; Tremellomycetes; Tremellales; Bulleraceae
Description: LSU rRNA
Rfam family: Eukaryotic large subunit ribosomal RNA
Source: RNAcentral
GAUUCCCCUAGUAACGGCGAGCGAACAGGGAAGAGCUCAAAUUUGAAAUCUGGCGUCCUCCGGGCGUCCGAGUUGUAAUCUAUAGAGACGUUUUCCGCGCCGGACCGUGUCCAAGUUCCUUGGAACAGGAUAUCAAAGAGGGUGACAAUCCCGUACUUGACACGACGACCGGUGCUCUGUGAUACGUUUUCUACGAGUCGAGUUGUUUGGGAAUGCAGCUCAAAAUGGGUGGUGAGUUCCAUCUAAAGCUAAAUAUUGGCGAGAGACCGAUAGCGAACAAGUACCGUGAGGGAAAGAUGAAAAGCACUUUGGAAAGAGAGUUAAACAGUACGUGAAAUUGUUAAAAGGGAAACGAUUGAAGUCAGUCGUGUCUGGGAGGCUCAGCCGGUUCUGCCGGUGUAUUCCUCUCAGACGGGUCAACAUCAGUUUUGUCCGACGGAUAAUGGCGGCGGGAAAGUAGCACCUCCGGGUGUGUUAUAGCCCGCUGUCGCAUACGCCGGAUGAGACUGAGGCAUGCAGCUCGCCUUUAUGGCAGGGGUUCGCCCACUUUCGAGCUUAGGAUGUUGACGUAAUGGCUUUAAACGACCC